Molecule: long non-coding RNA, 5036 nt
Organism: Leopardus geoffroyi (Geoffroy's cat)
Lineage: Eukaryota; Metazoa; Chordata; Mammalia; Carnivora; Felidae
Exons: 2
Source: RefSeq, a predicted model, not a curated record
UAUCCCCUCAGAGGGCUAGGGAGCACAGAUGUGCCCAGGGUCGCACAGGUUUCUCGGUCCAGCCCAUCCUCCUGUGCUCCUGGGUCCUAUGCAGAGCAAACGGCUGCUGGUUAAGACCCCCGGGGGAGCAGGGAGCAGGGGCUGCGGUUGGCGAUGUCUGAGGUCUGCGGCUUUGCAGGGCAGAGACUGGAGUGGGGCCUGCUCGACAGGGAGAUUCCCAAGCGGGACCAGGGCAUCUGGAAUCACUUGGUACAGCCUAUUCAGAACCUUGUCCAUAGUGCUCUGGCGGGUGGGGGCAGUUGGUGAUCAGCUUCCCUGUUCUUAUUUUAUGAGACCCCGGGAGAGUUGGGGCAGAUGUUGAUGAUGGUGUUAUAGUAGGAUGACCACGGUGGUUCUCAUGAUGAUGACGGCAUUGAUGGUGUGGAUGGUGGUGUUGAUGGUCGCCCCCAAGUCCCCUACCCACACAUCUUUGUCACACCAGUGAGGGAUCCCGGUCCCUCGCAAGCCUGCCCUCACACUCUGUGCUCACUCCUCCACCGAGCUUCUGAGGACUGUGCAUGAAUGCAUCACUUCAUUUGAGGGGGUCACAAUUUAUUCACCGACUUAAGGUGUUGCAACCAAGGCAAAGCUCAGAAAUCAGCCCAGCCACUCUCUCAUUUUCGCAGCGAGGGACAGGCUUGACCUGGUCACACAGCCAAGUGGGGCCCCCACAAGGACAGCACUGCGACCCCAGCCAGCACCAUCCCCAGUGUUUCUGCUGCUGCAGCAGCUGGGGUGGGCCAAGGGGACACGAGCCCCCUCACGGUGCGUUUCUCAGAGGCCAGGGGAGCAGGAGGAGAGGGUGCCAACCUCAGGCCAGAGGUCAGUCUCUGGGGGUAACAACGUUCUGUAUGUAAGUGAUGCCUCCGUGAAGACCCUCUCCUGGAUGGGCGUUCUCCCCGGAGCCCCAGGACAGAAGGGCAACCUGGCCCAGGACGAUGUGCUCCUGGGGAGGCGAGAGCUGAAGGGUCAGGGAGACCCCGUCCUGCAGGAGACGGGAGCUGUGGACGUCAAACCACGGCUGUGUGCCGACGGUGUGCCCUGGGCCAGCGCCCUGGGCCCGGCCUCACGGCUCCCUCAGGUGAGCAGCGGGGCCAGGGCUGAGAACAGAGCAAUCCCUGCUUCGGGAGGGCCUGGGGGACCGGGGGGGCAGGUGCCAGAGGGCAUUUGUCGUGAGGACUCAGAGCAAGAAUGGACAGAGGAGAGGGCCGGUGUCAGGGAUACCCAGGGGACAGUGAAGCUGGAGAGGGUGGCCUGUGGCUGGCGGGGAGGGGACAGAGCAAAGGAGACAGACGUGGUAGGCCGGAUGGAAAGCACACAGGAGGCAUCUGGGGUAACACGGAUUCUGAGUUUGUGGCACGAAGCAAGCAGGGGAGGAGCUGGGAGGAGGAGCGGGCUUGAGGCGGGGUGGGGCAUAAUGAACUCGGCUUUGGAGCCAGCUGGGAUGGGAGCAAUUAAUCCACACAGAGAGGGAGGGCGCCCGCUUCGCUGGCUCAGUACUGCGCUGCUAACUCUGAACGUCCCCCUAAUCGGCUUAGAGAUUUAUGCAAAUCCGGGUGUGCAGGAGCCCUGAUUGGGUUGCGGAGGAAUUGUCCGGGCCCCCCACGCUCAGCUUCUCCUCAGCACCCUGGCUCUGAGCUCCUGCUCCCUGAUGACAUCCCCCAGCUAGAAUGGGGGUUUUAAACAUAAUUACGGCUAGAACCAAAGGGGAUUUCCACGGGAAAAGGUGCACAGGCCCAGAGGCCAGGCCACCCUGGGCCAGAGCGAGAGGCAGGGGUUGUUCUCGGAGCGAGGGACACGGGUAAAGCAGGGAGGUCGAGAGCCCCGGCCCGCCGCUGAGACUGAGCCCUGACCCCAAGCACACACUGAGCCCAAGCCCCAGAAUCCUUGCCACAGACUGGGCCCUGGUCAUGACCACACGUGGACCCCUGACCCCAGUCACUCUCUGAGCCCUGACUCUAGUCCCAUGCUGAACCUUGUCCCUGGCCGCAUGCUGAGCCCUGACCUUGAUCACACACUAAGCUCUGGUCCUCCAAAACAAGAAUGUUGUCACGGAAGCCACCGUCCCCCCUGGUCUGGGCAUCUUGUGGUCCUCUGGUUUUGUGCUGCUUAUGAGUGGGAGGUCAUACCGCCAUUCGAAUGGAUGAGUCCGGGUGUCUCCGAUCUAGACAGUAAGCCAGGAGGACCAGGCUCCGUGUUCACCCUGCUCACAGGACCUCCCAAGGGUCUGGCGCCCGUUCAAUACAAGUUUGUGGAGGGAACGAAUGCACGAAUGGAUCGAUCAAAUCCAAGACUGGAUUCUUUUGGUAACGAGGAAGCUUUGUCGGAUGAGAGAGGAAGUAAAUGCUCUCCUUGAGCAUCCAGAACAUAGAGGUCGGCAUCUUCCUGCGUAGACGCCCCCCAGAGUGCUCACCCGUCCUCCACUCUCAGGCACUGCAUGGCGUCCAGGUACCCGUUCCGGUGACUUCUGUCUCCUGUGCACACGAGUGUUUUCACCUUCCUUGCUGUUGCACAGGCUGAUGCCUGGACACAUAACCACGGGAUGCCAGGCAUGGGAUAUUAGGGCCAGCGACAUGGGCCGCUGGGUCACCAGCUCAUAGGACAGUGGGGCCGUUGAGUCUGGAAUCUACAGGGCUGGGUGGCAGGCUGGAAACUCAGGUAGGGUUUCUGUGACAGCCUUGAGAUCAAGUUCCUUCUCCAGGAGACUUCCCUUCUGUUCUUAGGGCCAUCUCCUGAUUAGAUGAGGCCCACCACGUCAUGGAGGGCAAUCUGCUUUACUGAAAUCCACCCCUUGUGGAUCUAUUCUUACCUAGAGAACGUCUUCACAGCAAUGUUGAGACCGGUAUUCAACCAAAGGUCUGGGCCCCGCAGUCCAGGCCAGUUCACACAGCAGUGACCGCUGCAGUCACUUUGAGGGGCAUUUAUUAGCAGCCUACACACACACAGAUGUUAGUCUUGACUUAUCCUCGCCCGAGCUGAGUGUCAGGAAUUUACCACUUUAAUAUUGGUAGCAACAUCUUACGUAAAAGCGCAUGCCUUUGGUUAGUAGAGAAUCUGAGCUUCUUUGCACAUAUUUCUAGUUCAUGAGACAUUUGAAAGAGCCCAGCAGGGUGGGACUGCCACGGGGUCUGUGGACUCGAGAGAAGGAGGCUGUAGGAGGGACAGGCAGACACGGCUGCGGGUGGCACCCUCCAGUGUGUGUGACGGUGCGGGGACCCGAGGAUGCGGUCAGAGCGCGGGCGGUGUCUGCCCAUCACCCUUCCGGGUCCAGCACGACCCUGGGGGCCCAGCAGCCCUGCACUUCUGUGAAGUCCAGACCACUUAGGAGCCAGCUCCGAGCUCUGGUCUUGCCGGGCUGGUGGGGGCAGAGAGACGCAUGGGGCCCAGUGCCAACCGUGGGCUCCAUAAACUGGCCUCGCUUUUGCUGUUUCAUUGUUGCUGCUUCCGAGGAGGGAUGGGACAGCUGCCCAGUGCCCAGCACGUAGUGGGGGCUCGGUUCCCUCUCCCUUCCCCUUCGUGUCACAGCUCAAUUUGCUGUUAGGCCGGUUGAAGGAAUUGGGUCAGUUCCUAUAAUAUCUUCUCCCUGAUUCCGAUCAUUCAGGCAAUUGCGACAUCAUUAACCCAGAUCAUCACAUUCUUUGAUCAGCUGCCGAGAAUAGUGACACUCCAGGCAUUCAGCAGGGAGCCCGGCCACAAAGUGACAGUGAUCUGGCAUUUGCCAAAAGCCCACUGGAGACACUUGGCAUUUGAGGGACAGACGGUCCAAGGCACGUGCCGACUCCACAUUUGUCCGGGUCGCUCUGUUUUCCGUAUUUGCGUUCGCCCUGAAAUCAGCCUCCUGGUUCCUGUGCCUGGUCCAGAUCACUGUGUGCACAUGCACGUGUGAAUGUGUGCAUGCGUGUGUGCAAGUGUGUGUGUGAGAGAGAGACAGAGAGACAGAGAGAAAAAAUGUUUUAGCUCCUUUAAAUAACAAUAAGCUUCUCGUGGAGCAACAGGACAGGUUCCAGAAGCCACGGGAGUCCCUGCGGUAGGCUCUGUCAUCGACACGACGUGGGACCUCGGAGAGUCCUUGGCACGUCCGUGCUCCGGUGCUCUCUUCCGGAAAGUGGGCUCCAGGGCUUCGUGUGCAGGGUGUUGUCGGGACAAGAUCCAGCGCGAUGAAGGCGCUCGGCAGAGAGCAGGUGUUCCAAACCCAUUCGCUGUGGUCUUUCUUGUCUGCCCUUCGUUUCUCUUCACGAUUUCGCGUAUUCGCAAUUCCGCACGUCGCCCGUGCGCAACUCGAAGCUUCUGGAUGGCGCUCCAGACGCGGUGGCCUCGGCCUCACUCCCGCUCUCGGGGUCCCUGCCCGAGUGCUGACGGACUCCCGCCAUUAGAAGUGAGCGUCUGUGUCCUCGUAUUGGUACGCUUGGCACCGUGCGGCUCCCUCCCGCGGACCCCGGGCUGGCCCGUUUCUGUCGGAACCGCUGCUGGCGCCCCAGAAAAGCCGGGCGGGGCGCACGUGGGUUCCUGCUGACCUGUGUGGUUCUGGCUGCGCUGCAGGUGGCCCCUGCCCGCACCCCCAGGACGCUCGUGGGGGCUCUUCUAGGGCUGGCGCUGAGCUGUGUUGCCAGGGCCCCACGGGCCCACGGCCGGUGUGGCAGCUGCCGCCAGCCUGCCCCCCGACGUCCUCAUCACCAUUCCCGUUGCCCCGAGAGUGACGCCGGGUUCGUCGAGAGUAUCACUGCCCCACAACACCCACCUGGCAUCCAGCAAGUAUUUGCAGAAUGAGCGACGGAACGAAGAGAUGGGCGACUGAACGGCUUCGCCUUUCUUUCCACGGUGGCGCGGUCGACACCCACGUGGCCUAAGACGUAUCCCCGCACGCGUCCACGCUGCCCAGCAGGGCCGGCCCGGUGACGACGCGGAUCUGAAGAAAGGAGGGCUUAUGUUGCACACUUGAAACUCAGCAGACAUUGUGCAUUCAUUCUGUUUCAAUUAAAAAAUCAUGAAGACCCUUA